This 1245-nucleotide ribosomal RNA is filed under the name Aster yellows phytoplasma. Its description in RNAcentral is "bacterial SSU rRNA". It matches the Rfam family "Bacterial small subunit ribosomal RNA", at positions 153 to 1399 of the family's 1533-position model. Lineage: Bacteria; Bacillati; Mycoplasmatota; Mollicutes; Acholeplasmatales; Acholeplasmataceae. The record is from RNAcentral.
GAAACGACUGCUAAGACUGGAUAGGAGACAAGAAGGCAUCUUCUUGUUUUUAAAGGACCUAGCAAUAGGUAUGCUUAGGGAGGAGCUUGCGUCACAUUAGUUAGUUGGUGGGGUAAAGGCCUACCAAGACUAUGAUGUGUAGCCGGGCUGAGAGGUUGAACGGCCACAUUGGGACUGAGACACGGCCCAAACUCCUACGGGAGGCAGCAGUAGGGAAUUUUCGGCAAUGGAGGAAACUCCGACCGAGCAACGCCGCGUGAGCGAUGAAGUAUUUCGGUACGUAAAGUUCUUUUAUUAGGGAAGAAUAAAUGAUGGAAAAAUCAUUCUGACGGUACCUAAUGAAUAAGCCCCGGCUAACUAUGUGCCAGCAGCCGCGGUAAUACAUAGGGGGCAAGCGUUAUCCGGAAUUAUUGGGCGUAAAGGGUGCGUAGGCGGUUAAAUAAGUUUAUGGUCUAAGUGCAAUGCUCAACAUUGUGAUGCUAUAAAAACUGUUUAGCUAGAGUAAGAUAGAGGCAAGUGGAAUUCCAUGUGUAGUGGUAAAAUGCGUAAAUAUAUGGAGGAACACCAGUAGCGAAGGCGGCUUGCUGGGUCUUUACUGACGCUGAGGCACGAAAGCGUGGGGAGCAAACAGGAUUAGAUACCCUGGUAGUCCACGCCGUAAACGAUGAGUACUAAACGUUGGUUAAAACCAGUGUUGAAGUUAACACAUUAAGUACUCCGCCUGAGUAGUACGUACGCAAGUAUGAAACUUAAAGGAAUUGACGGGACUCCGCACAAGCGGUGGAUCAUGUUGUUUAAUUCGAAGGUACCCGAAAACCUCACCAGGUCUUGACAUGCUUCUGCAAAGCUGCAGAAACACAGUGGAGGUUAUCAGUUGCACAGGUGGUGCAUGGUUGUCGUCAGCUCGUGUCGUGAGAUGUUGGGUUAAGUCCCGCAACGAGCGCAACCCUUAUUGUUAGUUACCAGCACGUAAUGGUGGGGACUUUAGCAAGACUGCCAGUGAUAAAUUGGAGGAAGGUGGGGACGACGUCAAAUCAUCAUGCCCCUUAUGACCUGGGCUACAAACGUGAUACAAUGGCUGUUACAAAGGGUAGCUGAAGCGCAAGUUUUUGGCGAAUCUCAAAAAAAUAGUCUCAGUUCGGAUUGAAGUCUGCAACUCGACUUCAUGAAGUUGGAAUCGCUAGUAAUCGCGAAUCAGCAUGUCGCGGUGAAUACGUUCUCGGGGUUUGUACACACCGCCCGUCA